CUGGGCUUAUCUCUGUAUCCCAAACUGGAUCCGUGAUGCAAAAAUCUGCUCCGGUUCCCAGGGCAUCCAUUUUCUGCCAUAAACAACAAUGACACUCUCCUUCCCAGAUGUUGAAACAGACUAAAUAACCUCCACUUUCCACUGGCAGCUCUGACAGCAGAAGCUAUCUGAAAUUGCACCGCGCAUGGAUGAACUAUAGGCCCAGCUGGUUACUUGGAUGCUGCAAGCAGGAGGGAUAAAACGGCAGCGGGGGUGAGCGCAAAAGCUUAGGUCUGCUCACCAUCAACCUUCAUCUGGGUUACAGGACGGGGACUGACAUUUGGGGCGCAUGCGCGCGCCAACGCACGCACCGGCUCCGCAUCCUACCUCACCCCAGAGACGGCUCCUCGCGUGCUCUGCACCAGCGUGGGCUUCAUCUUGAUGCCAGACAAGAACCAGAAGUGAAUCCCAGUCCUAUUUUCCUUGGAAAACUCUCUGCUGCAGAUUUCUUCUGGAACAUCGUGGAAUGUGGGAAAGGAAAAGAAUGCAGAGACCAUCCAGUCCAUCAGCUCGGGUUACACGUCAGGAGAGGGAAACCAGACAGACGGCAUGACUGGCCUCAGGCAGGGAUUUUUUUUCCCAACAAAAAGGAAGAACUGAGUCCAUGACGUGUCAAGCCACAUACACCAACCAGGAUUGACUCAUGCAGGCAGGAUGACUCCGAGUGAAGACAUGGCUCAACAGACAAGGGGAAGCUUGACAUGAGCAGAAGCUCUUGAAAUGUAAAAACCCAGCAUUGUGACACGGUUGUCCAGAGGGCUUCAGAGGGCAAUGAAGGGAGCUUUGAACCCCAGUAGUGGCUCUGUUUUUUUCUGUUUUAUGUAUUGGAGUUCCGAAUAAAAUUUCCUUGGAAAAGCAGGUUUCACUGAUUUUCCUUAAAAAUUAAAAGACAUGAAAAUCACUGCCCAAGAAAAAUGAAUUGAAUAAGGACAAAUUGCUACUGAGAUGGGGGAAUGAACUGGAGUAUACCGUUGGCAAUGGUGGUCUUCUUUGAGUCAGUAGGAGCACUGGCACUGAGACCUUCCAUCCUUUCUUCGACCUCUGCUCCCUGUUCAGUGAGAGGUAAGAAGAGUUACCUGGACUUGCUUAACCUUCAAGGCUUUCCUCCUACAUCACCUCUCAGUGAAGUCUACUCUGACCAGACCAUUUAAUGUCAAAUGCUUGUCGCCCGAUAGACACUCCCAGUCCCCCAUACCUUGUCUACUUUUUCUUUUAUUCCUUAGCAUUUUAUCACUAACUAUAUAAUUUACUUACUUAUUAUGCUCC
Equus caballus (horse) is the source of this 1305-nucleotide non-coding RNA. The record is from RefSeq and is a predicted model, not a curated record. Lineage: Eukaryota; Metazoa; Chordata; Mammalia; Perissodactyla; Equidae.